Molecule: long non-coding RNA, 3341 nt
Filed under: Homo sapiens (human)
Lineage: Eukaryota; Metazoa; Chordata; Mammalia; Primates; Hominidae
Description: HSALNT0267701
Source: RNAcentral
CAGGAGUGGUGAGUGUCACUUCCAGGCAGGGCCUCGAGGAAGUAGGUGAGCUUCUCCAUCCCUGUCUGUCUAGAUGCAGAGAACCCAAAGCCCUGCAGGAUGGCAAAGCUGCAACAUGGAAGUCACCCGGAUCACCACGUAAAGGAAAUCUCUCCAACCAGGAACAAACACCUGCCUUGCAAUAUUAGGUGUCUGCCUCCUGCCCCGGUCCACAGCCAGGAGCCCCGGAGCCAACGGCCAGCCUGGAAGACUUACAGUUCUCCCUCUGAGGGUUGCUGUGGCUUUCCAUGUUGUGGUGACUAAGUCCCUGUGUUUCUGUGCAGUCCCUGCUUCCUGGGACCAGGGAAGAAUGGUCCCGUGGCCACCAGACUUUCUCUGCUUGUAUCCUCCCAGGACCACAGAACUCAUCGCAUCCCAAGGCAGCCUAUUCCAUCAUGGAUGAGCUCAAAGUGUUUGAAAGUUCUGCUUUAUCAAGUGAGCCAAACUUCCUCCCUCAGGACCAUCCACUCCAGGGCCCAGUUAUUCUACUGGAGGAGUGAGGGUAAAGCCAUCACCAGGACAACCUUGGUGACAGGCUGGACUGGCAGCCAGCUUUUGGGGAUGACUUCAGGGAACCCUGAAUAGCCAUGGGAGCCAAAUGUAUUACUCCUCUGAUGCCUACAAUUCCACUAUAAUAGUCUGGUGGGCUUCUGUUAGGGAGGCUUAUACAUGGUGGAAAGAAUAAAGGCUUGGACUCAGCCUAGGUUCAAGUACUGCAUCUUGACCUGGCCUGUAGGCAAGUCUUUUCACUUCUCUGAGUUUUGGCUUUCUCAUUUGUCCAAUAGGAAUAACAAUAAUGAUAAUAAUAAUACCUCCCAUGCAGGAUUGCUAGUAUGUUCAAUGGGAUAAUAUAUCUAAACACCUCACACAAUGCCUGGCACAUAGCAGGUGUUCAAUUAGGUCUGUAUUAAAAUCCAGGCUCUGUCUCUUAUUAUUUAUAUGUCCUUGGACUUCAUUUCCUUGAACCCUAGACUCCCCAUCUCUAAGGUGGGGUUGAUAUUACUCACAUCCCACCAGGCUCUGGUCAGAAUCUUUUAAGUGUUUAUUUACAGAUAAUGUGCCAAGUUCUUUAUCUGAAUUGGACAUUUAAUCCUUUACUCUGUGGGUAGAAUAUUUAUAAUCACCCCAAUGUUUUCAAUGGGGAAACUAGGGCUCAGUGAGGUUGAUUGACUUUGCCCAAGGUCACAUGGCUGGUGAGGUGGCAGACUCAAGAUUUGAGUCCAGGCAUUUUGCUCCCGUGUAUACACUGUGUGUAUAAAGGACCUGGCACAAAGCAGCCAGGUCAUUUUGUGCUUGAACUGCUGCUCUGUCCCCAACUUCCCCAAAAAAGCACAACAUCCAGAGUAGGCCAAAGCUAUGUUACUUGGCUCUACCUAACUUCAAGCAGAGGAGGGGUUUCAAGGGAACCAAGUAUUUGUAGUGCAAAGCCACUGAGGUUUUGGAGUUAUUCGUUGUAACAGCUGGCAUGGCUUAACCUUGUCCUCUUAGCUGUUUUCAGCAUUUGCACCUGAGUGUCAAUCAGCUAGGAUGUUUUAGGCUGCAAGUAAUAGAAUACCCUAUUACUCCUGAAUUCAAUAAUAGGUGCCUUCGCAGUCAAGAAAUCUGGAGGUUACGUGGCUCCAGUUUUGGUUCAUUCAGAGGUUCAGUGAUGUCAUCUAGGACCCGCAUUUUGGCUUCAGCACCCUCAGUAUAUUGGCUGUAGCCCUGAGGCUUGGCCCGUCAUGCUCUCAACAUGGCUGCCAAAGUUCCAGACAUCGCAUCCUCAUGCAACCACUUAAAGGGAAAGAAUAGGGGACCUUCCCCACACCCCUUUUUAUAUAAUAAUUGAGGCCAGCCCUUCUCAAACCUCCUGUCCCAGCAUACUUUCUUUAUGUUUUAUUGGCCAGAACUGGGUCAUGUUCUUGUGGAAGACUACCAAGGCUCACCAAUAGCCAUCUUCUUCUUCCUGGGCACACAUGUGGGAUACAUUUCCCAGCCUUCUUUGCAGUUAGAUGUGGUCAUGUGACUGAGCUCUGGCCAAUGGGAUGUAAGCAAAAAUAAUUGUACUGAUUUCAGGUCUGGCUUAUAAAAAUCUUCUACCCACAAUCUUUCUGCCAUCUGCCUGCUGAAUGGAGAGGACUCUGAGAAUGAGGAAAGCCACAAAUAGGAAAAGUCUCAAUCCCUAUAUGACCUGCAGAAAACAGAGCCCUCCUGUCAAGACUUAUUGCAGUUUGAUGUGAGAAAGAACCAAGCAUUUAUAAUGCAAAGCCACUGAGGUUUUGGAGUUAUUUGUUACAGCAGUCAACAUGGCUAAACCCAAGGCAUAGAAGGACGGAGCUCAGGGAGACAGCUGCCUUCCUCACAUGCUGGGGCUAAGAGGGGUGCGAGCAGGGAGGAGAAGGGCUUCUGUAGAUGUCCAAAUCUGACCCAGGCCAGCUUCCACCACUGUCUAGCUGUGUGACUCUGGGCAAGUGCAUGACCCUUUCUGAGCCUCCUUAAAUAGUUACGUGAGGCAGUGGGACUGGAGGCUCUCACCCUAAGUGCCCAUAUGAUUAUGACAUUCACUGACUCCUUCCUCACAGCAGCCAGUGGCCAAAGAGAAAGGGUGUGGCUCCCCUAGGGGCUCCGGGUCAGGGUCACUGCUCUGUCUGGAAUCUGGGCUCUGCUGCCCAGAACGGCCCUCCUGAUGUCUGGAAUUCCACCAUGAGUGACUCAUGCCUUUGGGAAGCCACUGCCCUGACCCCACUGAGUAAUAACAAUAACAGCCCCUCGUGGCUUUUUCUUUGCUGAGAGUUUCAUAGUCCAUGGUCUAAUCUGGUCCCCAGCACACGGCUGUGAGUAGGCAGUGAAGGUGGAGAGAGUUAGAAUUGCCAUACACGAUGCAGGAAGCAAUGUGCCCACAGCUACACAGCAAGUUAGUGGCCAAGCCUAGAGUCCUGGACAGUGGCUUUUUCCCCAAAAACCCUUUGCUUGAAAAGGCUGCCUCUGAUAUUCGUGUGUCCAUGUUCAUAGCAGAUUAUUCACAAUAGCCAAAAGGUGAAAGGCACUCAAGUGUCCAUUGAUAGAUUAGUGGAUAAGCAAAAUAUAGUGUAUCCACACAAUGGAAGAUUUUCAGCCUUAAAAAAGGAAGGCAAUUCUGAUACAUGCUACAACAGGGAUGAAGCUUGAGGACAUUAUGCUAAGUGAAAUAAAUCAGUCACAGAAAGAUGCAUACUGUGUGAUUCCAUUUAUAGGAGGUAUCUGUCAAAAGUAGUCCAAUUCAUAGAGACAGAAAGUGGAAUUGCCAGGGGCUGGGGAGGGGGAAAUGAGAAGUUUCCUUAAUG